GUGCUCACUCUGGCAGCACAAAUAUGAAAACUUUGAUGAUAUAGAGAAGAUCAGCAUGGCCCCUGCACAAGGAAUGACAUAAAAAUUCAUGAAAGAUUCCAGAGUGUC
This is a small nuclear RNA of Lepus europaeus (European hare), 108 nucleotides long. Lineage: Eukaryota; Metazoa; Chordata; Mammalia; Lagomorpha; Leporidae. The record is from RefSeq and is a predicted model, not a curated record.